UGGGUCUAAUACCGGAUACGACACCUCCUGGCAUCGGGUGGGUGUGGAAAGUUUUUUCGGUUGGGGAUGGACUCGCGGCCUAUCAGCUUGUUGGUGGGGUAACGGCCUACCAAGGCGACGACGGGUAGCCGGCCUGAGAGGGCGACCGGCCACACUGGGACUGAGACACGGCCCAGACUCCUACGGGAGGCAGCAGUGGGGAAUAUUGCGCAAUGGGCGAAAGCCUGACGCAGCGACGCCGCGUGGGGGAUGACGGCCUUCGGGUUGUAAACCUCUUUCAGCAGGGACGAAGUUGACGUGUACCUGCAGAAGAAGCGCCGGCUAACUACGUGCCAGCAGCCGCGGUAAUACGUAGGGCGCAAGCGUUGUCCGGAAUUAUUGGGCGUAAAGAGCUCGUAGGUGGCUUGUCACGUCGGGUGU
This 420-nucleotide ribosomal RNA is filed under the name Streptosporangium sp. RNAcentral's name for it is "bacterial SSU rRNA". It matches the Rfam family "Bacterial small subunit ribosomal RNA", at positions 158 to 595 of the family's 1533-position model. Lineage: Bacteria; Bacillati; Actinomycetota; Actinomycetes; Streptosporangiales; Streptosporangiaceae. The record is from RNAcentral.